GGCAGGGUAGCUCAGCUGGUUAGAGCACAAGAUUCAUAUCCUUGCGAUCGUGAGUUCGAAUCUCACCCCUGCUACCA
Molecule: transfer RNA, 77 nt
Filed under: Candidatus Daviesbacteria bacterium RIFCSPHIGHO2_01_FULL_43_17
Lineage: Bacteria; Candidatus Daviesiibacteriota
Also listed under: 2 other names
Description: tRNA-Met
Rfam family: tRNA
About the family: Transfer RNA (tRNA) molecules are approximately 80 nucleotides in length. Their secondary structure includes four short double-helical elements and three loops (D, anti-codon, and T loops).
Source: RNAcentral